ACAUUGCGCCCGGUGGUAUUCCACCGGGCAUGCCUGUUCRAGCGUCAUUU
RNAcentral lists this ribosomal RNA (50 nucleotides) under Apiognomonia errabunda. RNAcentral's name for it is "partial 5.8S ribosomal RNA". Lineage: Eukaryota; Fungi; Ascomycota; Sordariomycetes; Diaporthales; Gnomoniaceae. The record is from RNAcentral.